AAAUGUUCCCUAAAAGAAUUGUGGGAAAUUGCACAAUUUCUCGCUGAUAAAUGUGCAGCCUUUUCCUCAAAUAUUUUGAACAUCUGAAAAACAUCCUUCAGUUGAGAUUUUGAAAAGAAUGCCUCGAAGACGGACGCCAUUGAAGUUCAGCAUGGAAUAGUAAAAGGGUUGGCAAAAUGCUCAUCAAGGUCCAGUACCGUGGACUAAAAAAGUACCUCAAACUGCAGCCUGGUUUUUCUUAUGAAAGUUUCAUUGAAGAAGAAUUUGUGCCAGCAGGUUCUUCUCCUCUAAAUUCUUCACUUUUCUGAAGUGAUAUGGAGAGGUCCUCUUCAAACAAGGGGCAUCAAUCUCCUGGUGCAGGAGAGAACACCUCUGCCAUAGGGGAUGCAGCAGAAAAGGCCAAAUGGAUGGUCCAGGAGGUUCUGGAGAAGAGUUCAGGGGGAGAGGAAACAAUGGAGGAGUAUAAGAGAUUGAGCACCUUGACACACUGCACAAGACGGCAUCAUAUCCUGGUCAGCCACAUUGUUGAAAUGCAUGGGAACUCUGGAUCUCAUUCAUAGUCAGCAUUGGGUCCUUGGU
Alosa alosa (allis shad) is the source of this 579-nucleotide long non-coding RNA. RefSeq lists it as uncharacterized. Lineage: Eukaryota; Metazoa; Chordata; Actinopteri; Clupeiformes; Clupeidae. The transcript is spliced from 5 exons. The record is from RefSeq and is a predicted model, not a curated record.